UUCAGCAAAAAGGCUUGAUUUUCGUGUGGCCACAAAAACGCUCGUCCUUUUUUUACAAUAAGGAGAUGAUUUGGCUGUCUUGGGUGGUGGCCCACGCGCUGUAUUGGCUGUAUGUUGUUGAUAUUUUGCCCACUGGGAGAGCUGUGCCUUUCAAGCAACCCCCCUGGAAGUACGAGCCGCCGUUGCAUCGGCCGAAAAGCAGGGAUUUUAUUAUUGAGCCGGAUUGGGAGUCGCAUCAUUAUGCCAGUAUAGAAAAACACUAAUUUUUGCACGGUUUUCAGUUAUGUGGGGGCGAGAUCGUUAAUUAAAAGCUAGUUUUUUA
This is an RNA transcript of Tribolium castaneum (red flour beetle), 322 nucleotides long. RefSeq lists it as hypothetical. The record is from RefSeq and is a predicted model, not a curated record. The transcript has 2 exons. Lineage: Eukaryota; Metazoa; Arthropoda; Insecta; Coleoptera; Tenebrionidae.